GACGAACGCUGGCGGCGUGCUUAACACAUGCCAGUCGAACGGGCCUGCCUUCUUUUUUGGGGGUGGGUUGAGUGGCGAACGGGUGAGUAUCACGUGAGUAACCUGCCCUUCGGUCCUGGAUAACCGCUUGAAAGGGCGGCUAAUACGGGGUGGUCCGGUUGGUCCGCAUGGGCUGGUCGGGAUAGAUUCACUGUUUUUGGUGUUUCGGCGGGGGAUGGGCUCGCGGCCUAUCAGCUUGUUGGUGGGGUGAUGGCCUACCAAGGCGGUGACGGGUAGCCGGCCUGAGAGGGUGGGCGGCCACACUGGGACUGAGAUACGGCCCAGACUCCUGCGGGAGGCAGCAGUGGGGGGUAUUGCACAAUGGGCGGAAGCCUGAUGCAGCGACGUCGCGUGAGGGAGGGAGGCCUUCGGGUUGUGAACCUCUGUUUCCGGUGGUGAAGGCCCUGUCCGUGUGGUGGGGUUGACGGUAGCCGGGGAUGAAGCGCCGGCUAACUACGUG
This 499-nucleotide ribosomal RNA is filed under the name uncultured bacterium. RNAcentral's name for it is "partial 16S ribosomal RNA". It matches the Rfam family "Bacterial small subunit ribosomal RNA", at positions 28 to 507 of the family's 1533-position model. The record is from RNAcentral.